RNAcentral lists this ribosomal RNA (304 nucleotides) under Acinetobacter baumannii. RNAcentral's name for it is "partial 23S ribosomal RNA". It matches the Rfam family "Bacterial large subunit ribosomal RNA", at positions 2645 to 2925 of the family's 2925-position model. The record is from RNAcentral. Lineage: Bacteria; Pseudomonadati; Pseudomonadota; Gammaproteobacteria; Moraxellales; Moraxellaceae.
CCGUGGGCGCUGGAAAUUUGAGAGGAUCUGCUCCUAGUACGAGAGGACCAGAGUGGACGAACCUCUGGUGUACCGGUUGUGACGCCAGUCGCAUCGCCGGGUAGCUAUGUUCGGAAGGGAUAACCGCUGAAAGCAUCUAAGCGGGAAGCCUACCUCAAGAUAAGAUUUCCCUAGGACUUUAUGUCCUCUAAAGAGCCGUUCGAGACUAGGACGUUGAUAGGUUGGAUGUGGAAGCAUAGUGAUAUGUGAAGCUGACCAAUACUAAUUGCUCGUGAGGCUUGACUAUACAACACCCAAGCAGUUG